RNAcentral lists this transfer RNA (54 nucleotides) under Scleronema micranthum. RNAcentral's name for it is "partial tRNA-Ser". Lineage: Eukaryota; Viridiplantae; Streptophyta; Magnoliopsida; Malvales; Malvaceae. The record is from RNAcentral.
UUGCGUGCUGUAACAUAGUAAUUAUCUUUUUCCUCAUUAGGAAAAGAUGGCUGA